UGUGUGUUAGCUUAAUAGGUAGAGCUUUGUGUUACGGACAAGAACACAAGUUCGAGUCUUGUACGCGCUU
Molecule: transfer RNA, 70 nt
Filed under: Pseudogymnoascus sp. VKM F-4516 (FW-969)
Lineage: Eukaryota; Fungi; Ascomycota; Leotiomycetes; Thelebolales; Thelebolaceae
Rfam family: tRNA
About the family: Transfer RNA (tRNA) molecules are approximately 80 nucleotides in length. Their secondary structure includes four short double-helical elements and three loops (D, anti-codon, and T loops).
Source: Rfam by way of RNAcentral